Long non-coding RNA from Cyprinus carpio carpio, 578 nucleotides. Lineage: Eukaryota; Metazoa; Chordata; Actinopteri; Cypriniformes; Cyprinidae. The record is from Ensembl.
UUAUUAUUAGUCAGCAUACAAAUAUAGAAACAGAAACAAUUGUGAACAUGGCUCCCAAAGCACUCUCUUAUUCAUUUUCCUUCAUUGCAAGGCUUCUGUCAUUCACACCCCACUGUGAUGUCACCAUCUGUAGCCCUAGACCUGCCUGCCACCAGUGUGUGUGUGAGUGAAUGCACCAUCUGUCCUCAAUGGGCCUCCCCUUGAUGCUGUUAUAUACGCUGCUUGUCAGCCAUAUUUUGCUGGUGAAAGUCUGAGCUGAUGUCCACACCGCCACGCCGCUUACUAUUGUUUAAGUGGGAAAAAGUUCACAGAUUUCCUAAUCUACCGGAAUCAUCCACUCUGAAGCAGGUUACAUGAGAACUAGCUGCUGUUUUGCUGCUCACAGUUUAAGGUUUGAAGGUAUUUGCUGGGUUUUAGAAGAGUUGGCCAAGAAGAAUGGAGUUCCCACAUGUAUUUCUAACAAUACAGUGCACAAGGAAAUUGCACUUUCAAAUCCUCUCCCCCAAUUCACUUUACAUUGUUUCUCCACCCUCUCUCCAUCUCUAAAACCCAUGACCUGGAGCAGAGUGCAGAGAUGA